Molecule: ribosomal RNA, 260 nt
Filed under: uncultured bacterium
Lineage: Bacteria
Description: partial 16S ribosomal RNA
Rfam family: Bacterial small subunit ribosomal RNA
Source: RNAcentral
AACGAACGCUGGCGGCAGGCCUAACACAUGCAAGUCGAACGCUCGUAGCAAUACGAGAGUGGCAGACGGGUGAGUAACACGUGGGAACCUUCCCUAUGGUUCGGAAUAGCUCAGGGAAACUUGAGGUAAUACCGGAUAAGCCCUUCGGGGAAAGGAUUUAUCGCCAUUGGAUGGGCCCGCGUCGGAGUUAGCUAGUUGGUGAGGUAACGGCUCACCAAGGCAACGAUCCGUAGCUGGUCUGAGAGGAUGAUCAGCCACAC